GGAUUGGUGCCUUCGGGAACUCAGAACACAGGUGCUGCAUGGCUGUCGUCAGCUCGUGUCGUGAGAAUGUUGGGUUAAGUAGCCGUAACGAGCGCAACCCUUGUCCUUAGUUACCAGCACCUCGGGUGGGCACUCUAAGGAGACUGCCGGUGACAAACCGGAGGAAGGUGGGGAUGACGUCAAGUCAUCAUGGCCCUUACGGCCAGGGCUACACACGUGCUACAAUGGUCGGUACAAAGGGUUGCCAAGCCGCGAGGUGGAGCUAAUCCCAUAAAACCGAUCGUAGUCCGGAUCGCAGUCUGCAACUCGACUGCGUGAAGUCGGAAUCGCUAGUAAUCGUGAAUCAGAAUGUCACGGUGAAUACGUUCCCGGGUCUUGUACACACCGA
RNAcentral lists this ribosomal RNA (388 nucleotides) under Pseudomonas aeruginosa. Its description in RNAcentral is "bacterial SSU rRNA". It matches the Rfam family "Bacterial small subunit ribosomal RNA", at positions 1008 to 1393 of the family's 1533-position model. Lineage: Bacteria; Pseudomonadati; Pseudomonadota; Gammaproteobacteria; Pseudomonadales; Pseudomonadaceae. The record is from RNAcentral.